RNAcentral lists this ribosomal RNA (301 nucleotides) under uncultured bacterium. Its description in RNAcentral is "partial 16S ribosomal RNA". It matches the Rfam family "Bacterial small subunit ribosomal RNA", at positions 509 to 807 of the family's 1533-position model. The record is from RNAcentral.
CAGUCGCCGCGGUAAUACAGAGGAUGCAAGCGUUAUCCGGAAUGAUUGGGCGUAAAGCGUCUGUAGGUGGCUUUUCAAGUCCGCCGUCAAAUCCCAGGGCUCAACCCUGGACAGGCGGUGGAAACUACCAAGCUGGAGUACGGUAGGGGCAGAGGGAAUUUCCAGUGGAGCGGUGAAAUGCGUUGAGAUCGAAAAGAACACCAACAGCGAAGGCACUCUGCUGGGACGACACUGACACUAAGAGACGAAAGCUAGGGGAGCAAAUGGGAUUAGAUACCCCCGUAGUCCCUGUCUCUUAUAC